GUAGGUGGCAAGCGUUGUCCGGAAUUAUUGGGCGUAAAGCGCGCGCAGGCGGUUCUUUAAGUCUGAUGUGAAAGCCCACGGCUCAACCGUGGAGGGUCAUUGGAAACUGGAGAACUUGAGUACAGAAGAGGAAAGCGGAAUUCCACGUGUAGCGGUGAAAUACGUAGAGAUGUGGAGGAACACCAGUGGCGAAGGCGGCUUUUCUGGUCUGUAACUGACGCUGAGGCGCGAAAGCGUGGGGAGCAAACAGGGAUUAGAUACCCUGGUAGUCCACGCCGUAAACGAUGAGUGCUAAGUGUUAGGGGGUUUCCGCCCCCUUAGUGCUGCAGCUAACGCAUUAAGCACUCCGCCUGGGGAGUACGGCCGCAAGGCUG
This 374-nucleotide ribosomal RNA is filed under the name uncultured organism. RNAcentral's name for it is "partial 16S ribosomal RNA". It matches the Rfam family "Bacterial small subunit ribosomal RNA", at positions 527 to 896 of the family's 1533-position model. The record is from RNAcentral.